CCUACGGGAUGCAGCAGUGGGGAAUAUUGGACAAUGGGCGAAAGCCUGAUCCAGCAAUGCCGCGUGUGUGAAGAAGGUCUUCGGAUUGUAAAGCACUUUCGACGGGGACGACGAUGACGGUACCCGUAGAAGAAGCCCCGGCUAACUUCGUGCCAGCAGCCGCGGUAAUACGAAGGGGGCUAGCGUUGCUCGGAAUGACUGGGCGUAAAGGGCGCGUAGGCGGUUUAUGCAGUCAGAUGUGAAAUCCCCGGGCUUAACCUGGGAACUGCAUUUGAGACGCAUAGACUAGAGGUCGAGAGAGGGUUGUGGAAUUCCCAGUGUAGAGGUGAAAUUCGUAGAUAUUGGGAAGAACACCGGUGGCGAAGGCGGCAACCUGGCUCGAUACUGACGCUGAGGCGCGAAAGCGUGGGGAGCAAACAGGAUUAGAUACCCGUGUAGUC
Molecule: ribosomal RNA, 440 nt
Filed under: uncultured bacterium
Lineage: Bacteria
Description: bacterial SSU rRNA
Rfam family: Bacterial small subunit ribosomal RNA
Source: RNAcentral